Molecule: long non-coding RNA, 1043 nt
Organism: Amphiprion ocellaris (clown anemonefish)
Lineage: Eukaryota; Metazoa; Chordata; Actinopteri; Pomacentridae
Source: Ensembl
GCCCGGCGGACCUGCCGUGCGGGGUGGUGCGGAGACGCGGAGUGGUGUGGGCUCUUUUUUUUUUUUUUUUUUUUUUUCUUGCGUAGGGCGAGAUGUUGUUUUGUUGUGACGAUCAGCUGAGUGUGGCAUCGCUGUCCGGUCUGACACCACGAGAAGAAGAAGAAGAAGAAGAAGAGGGGGGAGGAGGAGGAGGAGAAGAAGAAGAAGCGCCUCUCCGGCUCCACACUAAACGUGGGGACGGAGCGCCUCUUUCCAGCGCAUCGCAAUCCAGGAAAUGCGGACUUGUGGCCCUUUCGCUUCGGGAUAAACGGCUGCAGAAGCCGCACCGUGGAGAGCCGGGACCAGUUGAAGAGGGAGCAACAGUGGAGACUGACGCUGCGCACUUCGAGGCUGUAUUAGAUGCCCGAUGGAGCCCGUGAAGUUGUCUGUGACGGGCUACACCUACACUUGACUCGGGCCUCGAGGAGAAGAUUGAUUUGGGUGUGGGCCUGAAAAGCCUAAUAAUCUUUGAUGAGACAAGUUCAUCGAGCAGCCUCAAAAUCACACAAAAGGCAUGACAGUAGCUGAAUCAUCUCCACAAUGCACUGCAGCCUUAGUGAAGUAAUCUCAUGUCACAUUUGUCACACUGUCAUGGUGGAUUAACAGUCAAAGACGAAUGGUCAGUGAUGGUGCCGCUCAGCAUGGAUCUCUCUGUUAGGGAAGGUAUCAAUGAAAGUAGAGAAAACUGGUAUUUUAGAGAUUGUGUCACACUGUAGCUCUGGCAUUUCUCUUACCAGUGAUCACUGGGUAUCUUUCAGUAGCAUUUGCACAGACAACCUAGUCUCUGCCAUGCUUCUUCUACAAACUUUUUCACCCCAGGAGAGGAUCCUCCCUUCCCGCCUCUUGCCAGAGCAAAACCCCAGAGCUGCUGACACAGGCUCACCCAGCGUGAUUGAGAAAAUAAACAGAUGAUGAAAAAAAAAAGUGUGUGCCGCUCAUCAUAGGGCUACAUGUUUAUCCUCUGCUGCAGGGUUGUCAUCAACUUAUGGGGAGCAAAGAUGGAU